CCUACUAAAAGCUUAUAAUACUGAGGUUUGUUCAUUUGGGGAACUUAAUUUCUGGUUGGUUGCUUGCAUGUCUGCCAAUGGUUGUGCCCGUAAGUAUUAAUGCCCACUAGCUGAACUAUCACAGCAUUGUCAGUCUGUGAUGGAAGUUGAAGAGUAAAGAAGCUACUGAAGAGUUCCAAAGCUGACUUCAUUCCAGCUUGCAGCUGCACUCGGCUCAUCUUGAAACUGACUGACAUGGAUUCAACCAGAGGACACAGCAACAACACCAAUUCCUUCCAUACCCCUCAUUAAAUUAAGAUUAGAGGAACAGCGUUCCAAGCUCUUCUGUACCUGUUUGACUGAACAGCUCAUUACUGCAUGCACAGAUGGACCUUAUUUACAUACAUGAGAACCUGACAUGUCAGCAACCUUCUGGAAAAUCAACAGCUGCCAGAUGAGAAGUCCUUCCAGCUGUCUGACAGUUCUAAAGUCCCAAAACUGACUUAAAUUUACCCAGUAAACAUACUUGGUUCAUCUUGGGAUUGAGUGAGACCUGGAUUUGAUCGAAGAACAAAGUGACACCAUCUCUCUCAACUUCUUUAACCAACUUCACCAAACCUUGAAGAGGUUUGAGAACAGGUGUGCUGCUGAUUCUUGGAAAUGCUCUUCUGUGCUAGAGUUCUUUUGAAUUCAAGCUGUUACUAAUACUGAACUUUUAAUGAACUCUAGGUGAGCUGGG
This is a long non-coding RNA of Megalobrama amblycephala (Wuchang bream), 718 nucleotides long. RefSeq lists it as uncharacterized. The record is from RefSeq and is a predicted model, not a curated record. Lineage: Eukaryota; Metazoa; Chordata; Actinopteri; Cypriniformes; Xenocyprididae. The transcript is spliced from 5 exons.